This 872-nucleotide ribosomal RNA is filed under the name uncultured organism. RNAcentral describes it as "SSU rRNA". It matches the Rfam family "Bacterial small subunit ribosomal RNA", at positions 38 to 903 of the family's 1533-position model. The record is from RNAcentral.
AGCUACAGGCUUAACACAUGCAAGUCGAGGGGCAUCAGGAAGAAAGCUUGCUUUCUUUGCUGGCGACCGGCGCACGGGUGAGUAACACGUAUCCAACCUGCCCUUUACUCGGGGAUAGCCUUUCGAAAGAAAGAUUAAUACCCGAUAGCAUAAUGAUUCCGCAUGGUUUCAUUAUUAAAGGAUUCCGGUAGAGGAUGGGGAUGCGUUCCAUUAGGUUGUUGGUGAGGUAACGGCUCACCAAGCCUUCGAUGGAUAGGGGUUCUGAGAGGAAGGUCCCCCACAUUGGAACUGAGACACGGUCCAAACUCCUACGGGAGGCAGCAGUGAGGAAUAUUGGUCAAUGGGCGCUAGCCUGAACCAGCCAAGUAGCGUGAAGGAUGAAGGCUCUAUGGGUCGUAAACUUCUUUUAUAUAAGAAUAAAGUGCAGUAUGUAUACUGUUUUGUAUGUAUUAUAUGAAUAAGGAUCGGCUAACUCCGUGCCAGCAGCCGCGGUAAUACGGAGGAUCCGAGCGUUAUCCGGAUUUAUUGGGUUUAAAGGGAGCGUAGGUGGACUGGUAAGUCAGUUGUGAAAGUUUGCGGCUCAACCGUAAAAUUGCAGUUGAUACUGUCAGUCUUGAGUACAGUAGAGGUGGGCGGAAUUCGUGGUGUAGCGGUGAAAUGCUUAGAUAUCACGAAGAACUCCGAUUGCGAAGGCAGCUCACUGGACUGCAACUGACACUGAUGCUCGAAAGUGUGGGUAUCAAACAGGAUUAGAUACCCUGGUAGUCCACACAGUAAACGAUGAAUACUCGCUGUUUGCGAUAUACAGUAAGCGGCCAAGCGAAAGCAUUAAGUAUUCCACCUGGGGAGUACGCCGGCAACGGUGAAACUCA